ACAGGCUGAUCUUGCCCGAGAGUCCAUAUCGACGGCAUGGUUUGGCACCUCGAUGUCGGCUCGUCGCAUCCUGGGGCUGGAGUUGGUCCCAAGGGUUGGGCUGUUCGCCCAUUAAAGCGGCACGCGAGCUGGGUUUAGAACGUCGUGAGACAGUUCGGUCCCUAUCUUCCGCGCGCGUAAGAGUCUUGAGAAGGGCUGCCCCUAGUACGAGAGGACCGGGGUGGACGAACCUCUGGUGUGCCAGUUGUCCUGCCAAGGGCACGGCUGGUUGGCUACGUUCGGAAGGGAUAACCGCUGAAAGCAUCUAAGCGGGAAGCCUGCUUCAAGAUGAGGACUCUCACUGUUUAUCAGGUAAGGCCCCCAGUAGAUGACUGGGUUGAUAGGCCGGAGGUGGAAGUGCGGCAACGCAUGCAGCUGACCGGUACUAAUAGGCCGAGGACUUGUCUCUU
RNAcentral lists this ribosomal RNA (449 nucleotides) under Actinomycetota bacterium. RNAcentral's name for it is "Actinobacteria bacterium partial 23S ribosomal RNA". It matches the Rfam family "Bacterial large subunit ribosomal RNA", at positions 2477 to 2925 of the family's 2925-position model. Lineage: Bacteria; Bacillati; Actinomycetota. The record is from RNAcentral.